ACUGCGCGAAGUAGAGAAUCUGCCGUCUACGCCCCCUUGCGGGCAAAAGAAAUGUGGAAGUUGGCAGUCCCACCGCGCAGU
Molecule: non-coding RNA, 81 nt
Filed under: unclassified sequences
Description: skipping-rope RNA
Rfam family: skipping-rope RNA
About the family: Firmicutes, Fusobacteria, AlphaProteobacteria, Spirochaetes.
Source: Rfam by way of RNAcentral